CCUACGGGAGGCUGCAGUGGGGGAUAUUGCACAAUGGGGGAAACCCUGAUGCAGCGACGCCGCGUGGGUGAAGAAGCGCCUCGGCGCGUAAAGCCCUGUCAGCAGGGAAGAAAAUGACGGUACCUGAAGAAGAAGCCCCGGCUAACUACGUGCCAGCAGCCGCGGUAAUACGUAGGGGGCAAGCGUUAUCCGGAUUUACUGGGCGUAAAGGGGGUGCAGACGGCGUUGCAAGCCAGGAGUGAAAGCCCGGGGCCCAACCCCGGGACUGCUCUUGGAACUGCGUGGCUAGAGUGCAGGAGGGGCAGGCGGAAUUCCUGGUGUAGCGGUGAAAUGCGUAGAUAUCAGAAGGAACACCGAUGGCGAAGGCGGCCUGCUGGACUGCAACUGACGUUGAGGCCCGAAAGCGUGGGGAGCAAACAGGAUUAGAUACCCCAGUAGUC
This 440-nucleotide ribosomal RNA is filed under the name uncultured bacterium. RNAcentral describes it as "partial 16S ribosomal RNA". It matches the Rfam family "Bacterial small subunit ribosomal RNA", at positions 338 to 795 of the family's 1533-position model. The record is from RNAcentral.